AUCGCUCAUAGCGUAUAUAAGUUGUUGCGGUUAAAAGCUCGUAGUUGGAUUUCAGUUCUGGACUGACGGUUCACCGCCCGGUGCAUACUGUCACGCUCCGAACAGCCACAACAGCCCGCUGGCUCGCACGGGGUGCUCUUCAUCGAGUGUCCCGCGUGGCCGGCAGAGUUUACUUUGAAAAAAUUAGAGUGCUCAAAGCAGGCUACACUUACGGCCUGAAUGCCUAUGCAUGGAAUAAUGGAAUAGGACCUCGGUUCUAUUUUGUCGGUUUUCUGAACCCGAGGUAAUGACUAAUAGGAACAGGCGGGGGCAUUCGUAUUGCGACGCUAGAGGUGAAAUUCUUGGACCGUCGCAAGACGAACUACUGCGAAAGCAUUUGCCAAGGAUGUUUUCAUUAAUCAAGAACGAAAGUUAGAGGUUCGAAGGCGAUCGAAAUACCGCCA
This 443-nucleotide ribosomal RNA is filed under the name Eriocheir sinensis (Chinese mitten crab). Its description in RNAcentral is "SSU rRNA". It matches the Rfam family "Eukaryotic small subunit ribosomal RNA", at positions 587 to 1020 of the family's 1831-position model. The record is from RNAcentral. Lineage: Eukaryota; Metazoa; Arthropoda; Malacostraca; Decapoda; Varunidae.